UACGUAGGGUGCAAGCGUUAAUCGGAAUUACUGGGCGUAAAGCGUGCGCAGGCGGCUUUGCAAGACAGAUGUGAAAUCCCCGGGCUUAACCUGGGAACUGCAUUUGUGACUGCAUGGCUGGAGUGCGGUAGAGGGGGAUGGAAUUCCGCGUGUAGCAGUGAAAUGCGUAGAUAUGCGGAGGAACACCGAUGGCGAAGGCAAUCCCCUGGGCCUGCACUGACGCUCAUGCACGAAAGCGUGGGGAGCAAACAGG
This 253-nucleotide ribosomal RNA is filed under the name uncultured bacterium. RNAcentral's name for it is "partial 16S ribosomal RNA". It matches the Rfam family "Bacterial small subunit ribosomal RNA", at positions 524 to 776 of the family's 1533-position model. The record is from RNAcentral.